Molecule: ribosomal RNA, 254 nt
Filed under: uncultured bacterium
Lineage: Bacteria
Description: partial 16S ribosomal RNA
Rfam family: Bacterial small subunit ribosomal RNA
Source: RNAcentral
UACGGGGGGAGCAAGCGUUGUUCGGAUUUACUGGGCGUAAAGGGCGCGUAGGCGGCCACUGCAAGUCGGUUGUGAAAUCUCCGGGCUUAACCCGGAAAGGUCAAUCGAUACUGCAGGGCUAGAGUGCAGAAGGGGCAACUGGAAUUCUCGGUGUAGCGGUGAAAUGCGUAGAUAUCUGGAGGAACACCGGUGGCGAAGGCGGCAUCCUGGACCGGCAUUGACGCUGAGGCGCGAAAGCCAGGGGAGCAAACGGG